CAAGUAGUCUGGGUGAUCGCGCCUAUCAUCUGAAGAUGGUAGGUGAGGAAAGUCCGGGCUCCAUAGGGCAAGGUGCUGGGUAACGCCCAGUGGGGGUGACCCCGAGGAUAGUGCCACAGAAAUGAAACCGCCCGGCAUAGCCGGGUAAGGGUGCAAUGGUGCGGUAAGAGCGCACCGGCGGUCAGGUGACUGGCCGGCCAGGUAAACCCCACCUGGAGCAAGACCAAAUAGGGAGGCUUUGAAGUUGCCCGCUUCGCCUCCGGGUAGGUUGCUUGAGAUCUCGGGCGACUGGGAUCCUAGAUAGAUGAUCACCACCUUUGCAAUGAAGGUACAGAACCCGGCUUAUAGGA
RNAcentral lists this RNase P RNA (350 nucleotides) under Peptococcaceae bacterium. RNAcentral describes it as "RNase P RNA component class A". It matches the Rfam family "Bacterial RNase P class A". From Rfam's summary of the family: Ribonuclease P (RNase P) is a ubiquitous endoribonuclease, found in archaea, bacteria and eukarya as well as chloroplasts and mitochondria. Its best characterised activity is the generation of mature 5'-ends of tRNAs by cleaving the 5'-leader elements of precursor-tRNAs. Cellular RNase Ps are ribonucleoproteins. The record is from RNAcentral. Lineage: Bacteria; Bacillati; Bacillota; Clostridia; Eubacteriales; Peptococcaceae.